Molecule: ribosomal RNA, 405 nt
Filed under: Escherichia coli
Lineage: Bacteria; Pseudomonadati; Pseudomonadota; Gammaproteobacteria; Enterobacterales; Enterobacteriaceae
Description: partial 23S ribosomal RNA
Rfam family: Bacterial large subunit ribosomal RNA
Source: RNAcentral
CAUAGGUUAAUGAGGCGAACCGGGGGAACUGAAACAUCUAAGUACCCCGAGGAAAAGAAAUCAACCGAGAUUCCCCCAGUAGCGGCGAGCGAACGGGGAGGAGCCCAGAGCCUGAAUCAGUGUGUGUGUUAGUGGAAGCGUCUGGAAAGGCGCGCGAUACAGGGUGACAGCCCCGUACACAAAAAUGCACAUAUUGUGAGCUCGAUGAGUAGGGCGGGACACGUGGUAUCCUGUCUGAAUAUGGGGGGACCAUCCUCCAAGGCUAAAUACUCCUGACUGACCGAUAGUGAACCAGUACCGUGAGGGAAAGGCGAAAAGAACCCCGGCGAGGGGAGUGAAAAAGAACCUGAAACCGUGUACGUACAAGCAGUGGGAGCCUCUUAAUGGGGUGACUGCGUACCUUUU